Molecule: long non-coding RNA, 4658 nt
Organism: Odontomachus brunneus
Lineage: Eukaryota; Metazoa; Arthropoda; Insecta; Hymenoptera; Formicidae
Exons: 3
Source: RefSeq, a predicted model, not a curated record
AUUAAAUGGUAAACCCUUAAUAAUGCAUGUGGACCGACGAUUUCGGCUUAUGCCUCGCAUCUUCGCCCACGAAAUGUCGGAUCGGAUCAUUAACAUCGCGUUACGACGCGAUGCAAUUAACCGAUAUACUUCACACGAGGUCUUGAGGUUCCACGUUGCGUAAAUCUAAAAUCCCCGCAGAGAAAGUUUAUUGCGAGAGUUAAUUAGGAUCCAGUCUGAUUCUCCAAAAUAAUUAUGGGUUUUGGUUAGAAACAUUACGUUUAUAUGCAAAACCCAAAAUUUUCCCAAUAUUUUUUUCUGGUCUGCAUUUUACGUUAGAAUUGAAUAAAACAUGUAUUGACUUUCUAAAUAAUUUUACUAAUCAAUAAAAUAUUCGAGGCGUUAGCUGUUUAUUUGGUAAUAUUACUUCCAAGCAACAUCGAUUUCUCAUGAGCUAUACGGGGUAUCCCAGAAUAACUUCCGAAGCUCUCGUGAAGGUAUAAUACGGAUUAAGGUAAACGUAAAAGUGUUAUACCAUUUUGCGAUGUUCGCAAUAAUUAUCGAGAUGUUAAGGAAGAUUUGUAAAUGGUCACACGAGAUAUGAUAGAUGAGCUGCAGUAGCGACAUCUGCCGACGUGUGCUUGUACAUUAGAUCAAAUUAAACAAAAAAAGUCCUCUACCUUAUUCCUAAUAAUUUUGUAGACUUUUAGUUAUUAAUCAGAUAGCAUUAAUAUAUUAUCGCGAGCAACCAUACGCCAAUCUUCUUCAAUUAAUAAUUCUACAUUUACGAAGUUCUGAGGAAAAUCGUACAGGACUUUCUCGUUCAGUUUAACCUAAUGUACACGAUGGCAGACAUCGCCACUACAGUGCAACAUUUCCACGUCCACACUCUACUUAUCGGAGGUGAUCUCUAUCGGGAAAUGAGAAUUUUGCACGUGCGAUCGCAACGGUGAAAUAAUCGUGUAACGCACCUCUCUCUAAUCUUUAUAAUAUACCUCUCACGGGUGUGGCUCUACAUCCUUUGCUCGUCGCAAAAAGAGACGAAGGAAGGAAACGACUGUCUCUAGCAAGAACUACUCCUUCUCGCCAGCUCCGUCUCCUAUCGUUCAUUCUACCGCGAAACGCUCCGCUACUUACGUCGAAGGCGCGGCGGCCGAACCUUUGACCCAUUUUUCUAUCGAUCUCGCCUGGUUCCGCAUCUAGGGCAUCUCGAUGGCCCCGGCCCCGGCCGUCGAGAUUUCCGCCACUCCCAGAACGCUGAGACCUCGUGCUGACCUCGUGCUCUAUCGCACCUAUGCUUAGGGAUACCUGUGCUAACCGGCAGCCGAUCGAUAGAAAAAUGGCCGUAACGUCAGUUUGUACGUGAUACAAUCGGUGAAAGAUGCCUCUCCAAAUAACAACAAAAGUAUUCAAAUUGAACAUGCAAAUUGUUUUCCGAAUUGGUCAUCCGAAUUGCUUAUUUAUGAUACUUAUGAAAUAAGCAGCUCCGGUUAUCACAUGAUGGAUUAAUUGCGUGAAACGGGUCUUCCGCGAUCAACCACGUUCCGACAAAGCGUGCGUAGGGGAGAGUGUUUUGUGUAAGCGAGAAAGAGAAAGAGAGAGAGGGAGAGGGGAGAGUGAGGGAGGAAGAGAAGGGCGGGGAGGGAUGGAAGGAGGAAAGAGGACAAAAGAGUGAGAGGGAGUACGCGCGAGAGAGAGCGAGAGAGAGAGAGAGAGGGAGAGAGAGAGAUUAUCAUAGUGUUACGUAACACUCUCAGAUCGGCCCACCGAGCAUUGAACGGAACGAUAAUUAACUGUUCGGCGAUGAGAAACAGAGACCAAUGCAACGAGUCUUGUUAAACGCUGUAACAUUGUAACUUGUAUCACUAUGCGAAAGGGAUCCGUGCUCUCUCAAUUCUCUUUUGUUCGUCUUUAAACGUAUUUUCGACACCAGUCACUCGCGCCAUCGGCCUGCCUGUUGUGAAAGCGUAGGCAAAGCGUGAUCGAUCGUAACGCUUCCGAUACAUGUAAUCUUUCGAGCUCGAAAUCUAUCCUUCCAAUACGUGUAACAGAUAUUCGCCGCUCUACCAGCGAUGUUAAGCGUAAUGUUCGUUACGUGGUUCGAUCGAAAGGGUUAAGCGUGUGGCGGUCUGCCCCGCGGUAGCGCUCAGUCGAUUAACCAGCCCGACGCGGCGCUGCGGAAGGCUCCGAGCAGCGGGGUCAGAGGGGUUAGAGGGCACGAGGGGCGAGGAGAGGAAGGGAUUAGGCCGCUCUGUAAAACGUCGGGACUCGGCUCGCCGGCCGUCCUAUUUCUGCGCUCGGGAAAGUUCGUACACCGGAGCGAUCGCGCACGAAGUGACGAGGAUAUAAGUAGGUCGUUCGUAGCCGCACGUGUCGUCCUUGACUCACAUAGAGCGGCGCGCAGGCGCUCGCCGUUGCCGCAUUGCCGGUCGCUAGGGCUCUUUCUUUGUUCGCCACCGCGCGCUUGUGCGCGUGAAGCACUGGCUGUUCACGAAGAGGUCUCAACGAAUACGAGCGAGCCCGUCCGCAAAAGACCGAGAGGAAAGGGAAUCACAUAAAAAUACGAUGUCUAUCGGCGAUUUGGCGCCGUUAAAAAUCCCCACAGUAUCGCGCGCGUUGUCGUCUCUCGAAAUGAACCGGGGCUACUCGCUCUGCUUUCCUUCUCUUUUGUUUUUCCUUUUUCCUCCUCCUCCUAUGGAGGCUGCACUUUCCGUUUAAUCGAGAAGCCAGCAAUAACAGUCGCGUCCCGCGGCUUGUCAUUGCCGCCAUUAAUCAUUCCACGCGCCUGACAGCUCGUAUCCUACCGCCCCACGUUUCGUUUUCCCUUGCUCUAUCGAUGUGUGCGAAGACGAGGACGCGAUGACUGUGACGAGGCUGGAGUAUUGAUCAAACAGUAUUCUAGCUUCUCUAUAUCGCGUCACGGCACAACACAAUGCACCGGAGGGAGAAGAUAGACGACGGAAGAUUCAAGGGGUGUUACGUGUCUAAUAAAGGCGGAUGAAUGGAAUCACAGGUGAAAUGAGUGCUUUCUCUCUCUCUCUCUUCCUAAAUCGGUAUUUCUCCUUUGUCUACGAUAUUUAUGUGUCUGGCAGUUGACCCGAGCUAGACACUAUCGAAACUCUCUUUUAAUUAAAACUUUAAACUAAUAUCGUUAAACAAUGCUAGUAUUGUAUAUGUUAACUCUGGCAGCUACUUGUAUAUAGAUAGCGUAAGCUUAUAUAUCUUCCAAACGUAUUCUUUCUCUCUCUCUCUCUCUUUCUUUAAAAAUUUUAUUAAAAUUUAAACUUUAUUUAUUUAUUUUUUCAAACAAGGAUGUAAACCCAGGUUAAUCGACGUAGAAACAUGCAUUCAGCUUGAUUUAAAAUGUGCUCUUUAUUUUCUGUUUCUUGUUCUCUGUAUUUUUCUGUCUUGAGAUUUAAGAUUUAAGGUUCUAAGAUCUAAGAUUUAAGAUUCAGGAGAAGAUAAAGAGAAAGAAACAGGAAACAAAGAACACAUGAAAAUGAAGCUUUAAAUGAGAAAAAGAUAGAGAAUAACAAGCAAAGAGCACAUUAUAGAUUAGGUUGUAGAAGUUAACGGUCAGAGUUACAAAGAAAUUUAAAAAAGAAAUUUAGAGAUUUAAUUUUUGAUAAAUAAUUUAAUUUCUAAGAAACUUUACUCAAAAAGUAGAAUGAACACCGAGUCAUUCAAAUUCGAGUGACUUUUCAAUAUAAUGCGAAUUCUCCACUCUGAAUGACGUCGAGUGAAUGUUUUCACUCAAAAUUGAAGAGUGCAUCUGAUGUACUUCACUGUCACAGAAGCAUAUUCGUUCCAACCGAUCGAAAUAUUCGAUCGGUUGGAACUAUAUGAAUCGUUCUGAUUCAUAUGGAAUCAGAAUUCACUUUAAGCUUAAGUGAAACAUUCACUUUUUCGAGUGGCAACAUUUUCGAGUAAAAAUGCUGCCAUUUUUCACUGGUUUUUGAGAUUCUAGCCUAAGAAAUUUAGAGAAUAAAAAUACGAUAUAUAUACCAUAAAAAGAUGCGACCAGUCUCUUUAGGUUUCCUCACUUCGCAACAUUCGCUUGAUCUCCACCUCUGUCUCGUUUCCUUCAGCUCUCUCGAUACACACACACAACAGUCGUGGCCGAGUGAGACCGCGUAAUUAAUCAGUCUACACAAGCACGUUUGUAGCCGCUGCAUAAUGCCGCGUAACGUUAUGACGGUGUGGGACGACGCGAGGUAACCGCGGGCGAUGUGGCGCGAUAGUUUGUCCCUGUCGGCAGCUUUGCUCUAGGAACGCUCUAGAUCUCCGGCCAGAGGAUAGCAGCAGCAGCAGCAGCAGGAGGAUGAGGAGGAUGAGUAGGAGGAAGAGGAGGCAGUGGAUGUGGAAGAGCGGCAAGAGAGGCAAGGGGUAACGGCGAGGGGAUGAGGUCAACGGUGGCGGCUCAAUACGAGCUCUGACCCAUUUGGCAGCGAUCCCGAAACCGGCAGCGAAGCUUCUGCCGUAUACGGGCGAGGAUUUCAUUUUUUGGAUUUCCCGCAGGAACAAUAGCGACGCGACUUCCACGGGUCAGAGGUGACCUCGGUCAGUGCGACACGCUGAUGCGCGAGGUUCUCUCUCUCUUUCUCUCUUAGAAGAAACCUCAGGGAGGACUUUGCGCAUUUUCGGUCACAUCUUCAAAUAGAGGGUACGGUAUCGAAAUU